AUGCAGCAGCAGAUGCAGCCCCCGCCCCCCGCGCCCGGGAACCCCUGGCCUCCUCACCACGCUGCGGCCCAGCCCCCGCCGCAGAGCUACCCGCCUCCGCCGCCGGGACAGGCUUGGCCGAAUCAUUCAUGGCCUCAAAAUCAUGGAUACCCAGGGCUUGCCAAUGAGGACGAUUGGGCCACAAAGGCAAAGGAAUGGGCUUCUGCUAAAUCUGUUACAGAGAACCACCAGAUUCAGCAGCAUGCCAUUCCAAGUAGAACAGAAAUUCACCAUUAUGGCCACAAUGAUCAGUAUCAGCAACCAGCUGGUCUGCCGACAGAACCUUUACACCCACCAAUUCCACAAUCAAGUAGCGACCAGUUGCUGUUUCAAAUGUCAGGUCAACAGAGGGAAAGAAACUAUUUGCAAGAUAGAGGUCCAAUGGCGCCACCACCGAAGAAUUUUGGUCCAUUUCCAUCCACCUAUGAGCAGGAGGUACCUUAUAAUUAUUCUUCUGCUCAAGGUAAUGGGAAUGCUAUGCUUCAAUAUCCAAGCCCACAAGCUCAGCCAUCUCUGAGUGCUUCAUCAGUUCAAGACGGAUUUCCUCGCGGGCCUCCUGGUGUGCCUGGGCAUGGUUUACAGUCUUAUAGGAUGAUGGCUGAUCCCAGUGACCAACCCUUGGAGUUCAAUGACAGAAAAGCUCCUGAUAUGGCAGUACAUGAGACGAUAAAUAUCAGAUCUAGUGCUCCAACAGCAGUGUCUGAACAUAGCACAAUUCCAACAUCAACUCAAUCAUGGGGCCCAUCUGCUCCAGUUGGAUAUUUUCAUCCAGCUCCAGUACCACAACAAGCAUCACAGAUGGAUCCUUCUUUGCAUGCUGGACCACUCUUUGGAGCACUCUCUGGUUCGAGCUAUGUUCCACCUGCAGCAUUUGGUGUUGGUAGUGUAACUGAAGCAUUCCCUACAGACGCAAACACUCUUUUCAAUGUUGCAGAACGGUCAAAGAAACCUCCAGUACCUAACUGGCUUCGAGAAGAGCUUCUAAAGAAAAAAUCCACUCCAGUGAGUGCUUCAGUGCAGCAUUUGACAAAUUAUGAUUCCAUGGAUUCUGAAGAUGCUGCGGAACCACCAAAAAGAGCUGACCAAACUGAUAGUAGAAGCAUUGGUUCAGCAAAAUCAGUUGUAGCUGAUGAAGCUGAUGAGGAUGAAGUUGAAGCGGCACGGACGGCAGCAAUCAACAAGGAAAUUAAACGUGUGUUGACAGAAGUUCUUCUAAAGGUUACUGAUGAUCUUUUUAACGAGAUCGCAACCAAAGUUAUGAAUGAAGAUGAUUCAUCAGCUGAACCAAAUGAGACCACUGGUGUCUCUAGCUCAAAGGACCUUGGUCUGGGAGAAUCAAAAGUCAAGACCACAGCUAAAGUUGUAGUCCCUGCUAAGCCAAACAAUGUUAGCUCUACUGGCCGUUCUGAUGGUAAUGGGCUAAGUUCUCCUAAAGGUGCUCUUCUUGGUCUUGCUAGUUAUGAUUCAGAUGACGAGGAUGAUGAGGGUGACGGUGAUGGUAAGGAUUUAAUUUCAAAUUUAUCAUCCGAAAUUAAAGUUGAUGCAGCUCAUCCUAAAGAAAGUGAGAACGUUGAUGGUGAACUGCACAAUAAUAGUAACGGAAGUAUUGCUUCAGUCCAAAGUGUUUCAUCCGGAGAUGAUCCUAAAUCCAGUGACAAAAGAUCUCAGAGUAGGCCAACUGCAGAAUCUGAACGAGAGCCAAGUAUUCAUGACACACAGAAUGGAGAAGCCAAAACUUCUAUUCAGCCAAUUGGUGUGAUUCAUAAAACGAAUGAGAAGGCACAUGGACAUGCAGAGGUGGAUUUCCAAAAUGGAAAAACCUCUUCCGGCCAUCAUACUGAAAAUAAUAAUAAUAAUAAUGCGGAGAGCACUCACAGGCAUUUUGAAAGGAGCAGUCAUGAGAAAGAUCUUAAAGAGGUGAAGGUUGUCAAUGGAAAAGACUCUGAGCCUUCUAAAACUGACAAGUUUAGAGAUGGUGACAAGCAUAGCAUGCCUGAAAGUAUUGAUAAAAAGGGCACCUACAAAGAGGAAAGGGGUUCUGGCAGGUAUGCAAAACAUGGAUUGGAUAGAUGGGAUGAUGCCAAAAGAGAUCGAAAGGACCUUCCAAAGGAUGCAAGAGAGAGAAAGAGGGAUUCUGCUGAUAGAAGAGACGUAGGAAAAGAUGGGAAUGACGAUAGGUCAAGGCAAAUUACUAAGAGCUCAGCUAGCCACAGCAGUAGAAGGUCACGGUCACGGUCACCAAGUGGGAGAAGCCGUACUAGGAAUGAGAGUUCUUCACGUGUUCGAGGGAGUGUUUCAAGCGACGAGCCUUCUGAUAAUGCAAAAAGGAGAAAGAGCCAUUCUCAUAAAAACAGCAUGUCUCCCUCACCUCCAAAAUCUAGGAGCAGACGAGUUUCGCGGUCUCCACAUAGCAAGCAUUCUCACCGCAGGCAUUCACCUUAUUCAUCUGCUGAAAGGAAGAAGCGGUCCAGAUCUAGAACUCCGGUCAAGAGGAGGUAG
RNAcentral lists this ribosomal RNA (2538 nucleotides) under Triticum aestivum (bread wheat). RNAcentral describes it as "partial small subunit ribosomal RNA". The record is from RNAcentral. Lineage: Eukaryota; Viridiplantae; Streptophyta; Magnoliopsida; Poales; Poaceae.